Non-coding RNA from Sphaeramia orbicularis (orbiculate cardinalfish), 513 nucleotides. The record is from the annotation of a RefSeq genome assembly. NCBI's taxonomy places the organism in Eukaryota, Metazoa, Chordata, Actinopteri, Kurtiformes, Apogonidae.
GUUAUAAGGAAGUGACGUGUGUUUGUGUCAGUCAGAGGAGAUCCCUUCAGUUCAUCUUCAUCAUCAGUCAUGUUCUCUGUAGCUCUGAUACUGCUGUUGGCAUCUGGAUCCUGUGUGUACAGUAUAGACCUGAUCCAGCCAGACUCAGUGGUCCUGCAGCCUGGACACACUUUGACCAUCAGCUGUCAGGUCUCUGGUUAUUCUCUGACUGAUGGCAGCUAUGAUACAGGUUGGAUCAGACAGCGUGAAGGAAAACCAAUGGACUGGAUAUUCGAUCAAUGGGGAGGAAGUAGUGGCAGCUUUUAUAAAAACAAUGCAUUUCAGAACAAGUUCAGCUUCAGCAGAGACAUGUCUGCUGGAAGAGUGACUAUAAGUGGACAGAAUCUGCAGCCUGAAGACACAGCUGUUUAUUACUGUGUACGUCGCCCCACAGUGACACAAACACCAACAGACCUGCACAAAUACCCAGCAGCCACUGCAAUACCAGAGAAACUAUGAACAAUGUGAACUGUA